This 245-nucleotide non-coding RNA is filed under the name Herbaspirillum seropedicae SmR1. Lineage: Bacteria; Pseudomonadati; Pseudomonadota; Betaproteobacteria; Burkholderiales; Oxalobacteraceae. The record is from RNAcentral.
GGGGGUGACCUGGUUUCGACAAAGCGGCCAGUACCCGGAGACACACCACGUCAGGCGACCGACGUAAACAGCGCGAAAUCCUGAUUGCAAAUGAAUCGCAAUUUAUUGCUUACGGUACCUGAUUACCGCUAGCCGAGUUGCCGGCCCCUUCUCGCGAAGGCUUGGGAACAGAAAGGCCGGCCCGAUUUCCGAUUGCUGCGAGAGCAAACGUCGAGCGUGAAGUGAGUCCUUCGGGAGGGCUUGUA